AAGGGCAAUCUCUCUUGUGCCUUCGACAGUUCAGUUAAAGAUUUCUGUAUCAGCAAUUUGUUUCCCCAUUUUCUCAAAGAACGCAUAAAACCUGUUGCCUCACCGUAUCAAAAGAUCAAGCAGAAGAGUCCUCUUCUUCAAGAAGAGUUUUUCAUUAACUCUUCCGCAGCAAUGCCCGGGCAAUAAAACAAUCUGAGCAAAUCUGCUAAACAAUAUAUCAUUUCAAACGGUAUGUGCUGGUUGGAUAGAGCAAUCAGUAGUUGACGUUCGAACCAAUCUUCUCUCUAGUAGACUUUAGAUUCCGUCAUCCGUUUGUUUUGUUUUGAAUUGACAUAGAGAAAUCUUCCCACUACGUAAUUAAGGAAUAGGUGGCAAAGGAGAAUGUUCUUGCUUUUAUUCUAAAUUCACUAGAGGGAGCUGAGGGCCGCUACAAGUCUUCGAAGUUAUCUAGAAGAUGGCUUAGGCCGACCCUAGCCGCUAUGGCCUCCCUGCACGGUUGUGCCAUGGUGGAGUUCAGGAGCUAGUUGUGAUCAUCAAUGGUAUAUACUCGGAGAUGAUGAUCUAAAUACAUCUAUUAUAUGAGCAAUGUUCUUCAUGUCAUCCGAUCAGUUAGCGACUCAAUGCCUCCUUUUAUGCUCUUCUAUCUAUCAUGAAUAUGCUUAUUCCUUAGUCUAAUACAUGAUUAGACUACAUAGCAUGCUUUAUAUAAUCAUGGUGAUUAUAUCUAGUAUAUUGAUCCUUCUUGAUAGCUACUGUGUUCGUACCCUUACACUGCUUGCGCUGAUAGAGAGAAUCAUGACAGGAUCUGGCUUUUGUAAGGUGGGGGUUUUUGAGAGGUUGACCGAAGAUAGUAGUUUAAAGAUUGCUUUGGAUGAGAUGCAUGUUAUGCUUGCUUAUUAGCUAGAACUACAACUAGAAGAUAAUAGGCUCUUGUUGCUCCUGGUGGUGUUAUCCUAUAUAUAUACUUGUGGAUGCGAUCAAUCUAUGUUCUCAUAAUUCAUAUUUACAUCAUGGUUACUCUUCAUAUGCAAUUUAUGCUUCAUGUUAGGAUUAGAUCCGUUGAGCUAGAUAUAAAAUCCUAGUUCGUUCGAUGCUGAUCCAGGGAUUGAUUAACCUUGGAUGGAAUACUCUAAGGGAAAAGCUACAAUGAUCCGUGCGCUUGUGGUUCACAAUUUGGUGCACUAACUGCCGUCAACAAGCUUUUCUGGCGCCGUUGCUGGGGAUCAGCAACUCGAACCGUGGGGCGAUCUAUCUAAUUUUUUGGACUAACCCUAAUUUUUCUAUUGCAUAUAUCCUAUUUUGCUUGUUUGCGUCCUUGAAAGCAGGUAAAUGCUAGACGCCAGAUGAUCGAAUAUGGACUUUCAUCAAGUCUGGAUUCACUCCGAUAAGAUGAUAACAACAUCAAGCUAGACUCUUUAGUAGUAGGUGCUAACUUUGUUAGUGACCCAACAUCUGCUAUUGAGUCCACAUCAAUGAAGACAAUACAAAUGUUGAUAAGUAAGGUAUGACGCUAUGUCAAUUAACUUUUAAAGACUAAUAUUUCUUGGAGAUUUGUUUGUUCAAGUAACAGGUGUUGGAAGCAACCAUGUCAAGCAAAGAGGAAAAAUUGGAGGACCUCUCUGCACAGAAGGUCACAAUUUCAAGUUGAUCAAGACUGGAGGUAACAAGAUUAGAAGCACCAUAACAUUACCAAUCUUCUUCAGUGGGAUGCUCAAGAGAUUCUAAUUGAGUGAUGCAAUCAAGGAAGAAAACUGCUCAGAUCGUGGAUACAAAGCGCAAGAGCCUCCUUUGAUCCCGACACCUUAGCUAAAGCAAGAAUUAUGGAGAAGAUGUGUCAUUACCACCAUGCUACUUGCUGGUGCAGCAAUGGUGAUUACCUUGAAGCCAAAGGAUGUGCGACAUAAUACCCCAAAGAACACAAGAUCAAGAUCAUCAACAUCUCCGGAUCAAUUCAUGAGAAGCUACUGUUGUCAUCAAGAUUUUUGCUCGACCUUAGAAGAAAAUAAUAGAAUAUUUUUGGAUAUUCGAAAGUCUCAUGAAGUCUACAUUCCAACGAAUCAAGAAUUAAGGCAAUUGGAGAUUACUACAAGCUGUUAUGGCCAAAUCAUCGAACGUCAUGCGUCCUAAAAUCAGUUCUAAACAGCACGCAGUGGUAAAAUAAAAUGGGUAUAACUCUCUCAUUUGAACUCCAUUUUAUAUAAAUGUCGACUCAUUGGAAAGGUAAUUUCAUAAUAUUUUCAAUAGAUCUAUAUUUUAGUAUAUGAUCUAUUCUAGACAUAGGGAAAAGUCCAUGAAGAAGAGGCAACAAGAUGAUGAGAACAAGAUGGAGGAGAUGAAGAUGACAACAACGAAGAGGAGCUUGGGCAAUGCUUUCAUCAAGCGUACAUGAUCAAAUUCAGAAGCUUAGAACAAAAUAAAAACCUCCGGAGCAUUGGCACAUGAAGACACAAGCAGAGUAUGUCCAAUACAAGGAGAUGUUAGAAGCAAACCAUGAAAGAUUACAAAGGAUGACAUCAAGCUGCAUGGGCACUUUGGAUUCUCAUGCAAAGGACCAUGGCUUUGCAUGAACAUGAUUGAGGUGAGGAGUAUAGCUAUAUGACUAUAACUAAAGCACUUUGCGGGAGGUAAUAUGUCUUUUUAUUUAUUAUUUAUAUUAAGAUGAUGGUCUAUUUUGUUCUCUUUAAUCGAAACCAUCAAGUAACUUUGUACCCUUGCUCUAACAAAUUCUUCAACAACAUGUUGUAUGCUUUAAAUAAUAUUGAGGGAGCACUUUGUUAUUUUAUCUUGGAAAACUUAUAGACUCCUUUUUGUGUGCUAUUAGUGUUUAGAGUAUUUUUCUUUGUGUUUUUAGAGAGAAAUAUGAAGCAUGGCACCACCCUUCGGUUCUAAACUUGUGGCUAGUUAAUUUAGCUAACCUUUGUUUGUUUUAGACCACCAUCAUAUCAUAUUAUUUUCCUCAUCGCAUUGCAUUGCAUGAUUUAUUUUGUUUUAUAACCUUUUGUUAAAACUCUUUUCCACCUAAGCCUUCCUAUCAAUCUUGUUGAAAACCAGAGCCAAUAGAGGUAGGGUUAACUUGUGUUGAUCGGUUUGCUGCACCAUUCAGAUCGACCAAGUCUAUUUUUAUCCUUUGUUCUAACUAAAAAUUUUGACAAGCCUACCUAAUACCUCUGGCCAUCCUAAAACCUUAGGUUUUGUUUUUCAUAAAAAAAUAUAUAACUCUUGCUUUUCUUUUUGUUUGGAAAUCACCUUAAAUAGAAUUUCUAUACCUGAUUUAUCUCUUCAAAAUUCCUGUUUUAAGCCAAAAAUAUAGGAUACCUAUGAACCUACCCUAAGCCUUGUUAGCUUGGUUGUUGGGGCUUUUGAUAAAUGAUUAUCUUGUUGACAUUGCUUGACUUCUUAUGAAGUGGCCCACCUUGCUUUGUCAUUCUAAGCAAUUAUUUUUGAAUCGACUAAAUUGCAGAACAACAUCGAUAGUCUUUUCGACCUUACUAACCCUUGUUUUUUCUAACUCUUUACAUUUGCAUUCUGCAUGUUCACGCUUUUGUUAUGUUAACAUGUUUGGUUUUCUAAACUUUUUGGAGUGCUCGGAUUCUUUGGCUUUAACGUGGUGUUUUAUCCAAGAAUUUCAGUAGCUUAGUAGUAAACGUGGUGUUUAAAACUUAGUGUAAUCUCUAUCGAGUUUGGUCCUUGCCUUUCAUGUUACUAACUUCAUGCAUUCACACUUGCACGCAUGUACACUCAUUAGGUUUUGUUUUUAUUUUACUGGAUUAGCUAUGCCACGAGUUAAAGUCUUAGGGAUGUUGUUGGUUUAUUGACGAUUGUUUCUACUCUAGAUAGUUACUUCAGGGGUAGUAUGUGCACUUGAAUUGUUUUGCAGGCAUAGUGAAGCGCUUUCAUGAAAGGAAAAGAGAAGAAAUUGAAGGAAAAUAAAGGUGACAAAAGUAAGGAAGCAUAAAGAGAAGCUCUGAAUGCGGAGCACAAGGAUUUCAAUAAUCAUAAAAUGCUUCAUCUUCUUCUUCCAUGCCUAGCACAAUGCUAAGCAUGGGGGAGGACUUGGCAGACGAAGAUAAAAAUGCUAUAUGGAAUACAAGGAUCACUGUCACCAGAAGAUGCUCAUUUUUCUUCUUCCAUGCUGAGCACAAUGCUUAAGCAUGGGGGAGGCAGCGUUACACUUCAUUUCAAGCAUUGAAAGGAUGGUAAAUUCUACCUCAACCGUCUCUUUGUCCAUCUCUUUCUAAAAUGCUUGUGUAUAUAAGCCUUCAACCAUAGUCUCGAUGCAACCUUUGUAUAUCUCUUGAUAAUAACAUGUCUACUAGGAGUACAACCUAGUUUUUAUUUUCAAUAAAUCAUGAUCACCAUCACCUUGUGCUCACCACGAUGUUAAUAAUUUUGGUAUAAUCUUGCUUAUGGAAAAAUGAUGAAGGUUGCUGCUUUGUUUUACCUACACAAUGUUUUAUGUGACUCGACUAAUUGCUCUCUAUUUAAUAAACUUAAAUUGAUUAAAUACAGGCUCUUUUAAUUGUGGAGGUUAAAUGACUAAAUUUUAGACUCACAAACUAUAUGUUGCUCUUUGAUUUAAGUUUUCUGAUGACCUAAUAACUUGGUUUGUUUUUAUUUAAAAUUAAUUCAUAUGCUAUCGACAUUUGUGAAUCUCUUGCAAAGUUCUACCUACUAGAGCCUAUAUACAUGCAUGAUCUUUCAUGAUGAAACCUUUAGAUUGCAAACUUAUAUUUUGAUGAGUUGGAUUAAGAUUGAUUGGUUUGAGACUUAGAAGAUGGUCAUAGUGUAAACCUUUUCUUGCUAGCCUUUUCGUACAUGCAUUGCGAAUUCCCAUAUCAGAAAUCUCGCAAACUUUGCUAGGCAUCUGACCUAAAUGCAAAUUAUCAUUUUUGUGACUACCUCCUUGACAAUAACCUAUUAUUGAGUAUGGAAAAAUAUUUCGACAAGGAUUCAGAAGAUAUAUCAGUACCUUUUCAAGAAAAAUAAUAUUUGGAGGCGUCCACCAGUUUGAAGAAUAAAAAGCAAUGGAAACAGUGGCCAGGAGGGGUCAGGCCGAUCGGCCUGGACACCCGGCCGGAGUGGUUUUUCUCCUGAUCCCUCUGAAUUUUUGUGUGGAUGAUUCUCUAGAGGAAUAAAAUAAUUUUCUGAUGAAGAUUCAAGAUUUUAGUACUUACUUGAGCAGUUUAUCUUUCUUUCUCUUUCAUGGUCAAGGACGAGCAUUGUCUAAAAAUAGGGGCAGGAGUCAUUGAAUUACUCUAACUACUAUUGAGUAAAGUAUUAUGUUGCAAGAAGUUCUGAGGAGCAAAAAUAAAAAAUGAGGAAAAAGAAAGAAAGAAGAAAAAGGAAUUGUUGACGCCGGAUUUCGUCAUCAGUAGAAUCGGCGCCAGGGAGGAAAGAAAUCGAAGAAGUACGGUUGGGAAUCGGUCAAAAGGUGCUAUAAUGCGGAAUCGGUUGGAAGCUUUUACUUCGCUUCAGGGUGAAUGCGCCAGAUUCCCAAUCGGCAAUCCUUUGCCGAUAAGAAAUCGGCCGAUCAGGAAGAUGGACUAAGAUGGGCCUGUAUGGGCUUGGAAGGAUGGAAGGAUAAGGUAGAGGUCAGCCCACGAAGCGUGGGGUAAUUAGUUUAGCACGGAUUGUGCUUGUAGAUAUUUGUUUUCUGUUUGAAUUAGAGAUAGAGUUCUAGUCGGUUAAGAAGAUUAUUUGUACGGGGCUAUAAAUAGCUACCUUUGUAAAUCUGUAAACACAACAAUCAAUCAAUACAACGAGUUACUUUCUUCUUCGUACUUACUUUCGAGCAGGCGACUUCGCCAUCACUUUUUCUUCUCACGAGUUCGUGCGGGUUGGUAGGGCUGCAUCAUCUUGAUCUCCGGCCGAUUCUGUAAGUUCCGUUUAU
This 5890-nucleotide long non-coding RNA is filed under the name Setaria viridis. RNAcentral describes it as "long non-coding RNA (SVIR_LNC004176)". The record is from RNAcentral. Lineage: Eukaryota; Viridiplantae; Streptophyta; Magnoliopsida; Poales; Poaceae.